AAAAGCUUUCUUUAAUUGAAUAAUUGAAUUUAAUUUUUUAGUGCAAAAGCAAAAAUAAAAAUUAGGGACAAGAAGACCCUAUGAAUUUUUUAUUAAAUUUUAUAAAACUUUAUAUAAAAUUUAAUUUAAUUGGGGUGAUGAAAAAAGAAUAAAUAUCUUUUUUUUUUAAAAAAAUUGGUUCCGUUUUUAGCGAUUAAAUGAAAAAAAUACUCUAGGGAUAACAGCGUAAUAAUUUUGGAUAGUUCAUAUAGAUAAAAUAGUUUGCGACCUCGAUGUUGGAUUAGGAUUCUUUUUUGGUGAAGAAGUUAAAAAAAGAAGUUUGUUCAACUUAUAAUUUCCUACUUGAUCUGAGUUCAGACCGG
This 362-nucleotide ribosomal RNA is filed under the name Ixodes ricinus (castor bean tick). RNAcentral describes it as "partial 16S ribosomal RNA". The stretch from base 66 to 362 matches the Rfam family "Bacterial large subunit ribosomal RNA", at positions 2078 to 2619 of the family's 2925-position model. Lineage: Eukaryota; Metazoa; Arthropoda; Arachnida; Ixodida; Ixodidae. The record is from RNAcentral.